Non-coding RNA from Triticum urartu, 750 nucleotides. NCBI's taxonomy places the organism in Eukaryota, Viridiplantae, Streptophyta, Magnoliopsida, Poales, Poaceae. The record is from RefSeq and is a predicted model, not a curated record.
CGUACGCUGUGAGAUGGAAAGAGGUACAAUUUGCAAAUUGAACCCCGAAAGAAUCCUGUAACUUAGGUACAGAAACAUCCCAUGGCGGCUGAGCCGUCCCGUGCCUUUCCCCAUGGAGGUAUCAUCCCGAUUCGAAAGGAAAAAUCAUCCAGAUUCGAAAUUCUUUCGCUAGGGUUAGGAGACCUGUUGGGAGAUGAUGCUUCCCUCUGGCAGGAUCCCCUCGUUCCGUGCUGGGCUGGCGAGCGGCGAGCGGCGAGCGACGCGGUUAAUUCCUCUCCGGCGGUUGUGUCCGGCCAAGCGUGCGAGUCUCCGAGCGUUUCGGGCAGGGCCGGCGAGUGGCGUUCCGGGCAGGGCCAGCGAGCGGCGCUUCUGAUUCGUCUCCGGCCAACAAUGCCAGUCCUCCGAGCAUUCCCCAUCGAUGUCAUACUAGAUCUAAUCCCAAGGUUUUCUGGUGGCAGUAAAGAUAUAUGCAGAUUUCAACAACAAAAAAGACUGUUGUUUGGAGUCGUAGUAGUGCACUGAUACGUCCUUCUGCGUGUGUACUCGAGUUGUCUGCUCAAUGUUUGAUGUAUAAGUGUGAGAUUUACUAUGGCUGUUCAGUUAGUGAUGUGUCUAUCUUGUAACAAAAUUCCCUAGCAUAAUGCGGUUGGAACAUUUGCCUUAACUAAUGUAUGUGUUGUUGAAGCGAUGCAUGCAUUACUGCAAGUGAAUUCUGAUACUAGUAGACUAUAUUAAAAUUAGUUUCCUUCA